Molecule: transfer RNA, 69 nt
Filed under: Marmota monax (woodchuck)
Lineage: Eukaryota; Metazoa; Chordata; Mammalia; Rodentia; Sciuridae
Description: tRNA.Thr
Source: RNAcentral
GGAGUUGUGGCUCAGUGGUACAGUGCACGCCUUGUACAUGUGAGGCACUGGAUUCGAUCCUCAGCACCA